GUCAGAGGAAGGGGAUUGUGAUGAGAGGAAAGGCCAGGGGACUGGGACACUUUUUCCUUUGUGAUUAUAAAAUUGAACAGACAAGGUUGCUUCAAGCUAGGAAGUUGCUGCUGGAAGUAUUUAGCUUUGCUGGGGCUGGGGGGCUUGACACCCACAGCCUUAUACUCCUUCCUGAGUUUCAUCCCAUCUCACAGGUUCUCCCCAACUUCAUGGCCUUUGCCUAUCUAGGAGCCUCAGACACAUAGGCUAGACAAAGGCCUCAUCCACAUGAUGCGCAGGUAUGGGUCUAGCUCCUGCAUGAGCUCAACAUCUGGGCCUGUCUGAGCUGCACAGCUGAAGAAAGAGACAAGAUGUCUAUAGCCUCACCCACUUGGGAGUACUUUUAGGAUCAACACUUGUGGACGGGAGAAGAUGGAAGCAGGACUGGGUAGAAGAAGAAGCUGGGCUGCAAUGAAGUCCCAUUGAAGACCUCAGCUGACCUUGCAUGGAGCCUGCAUCCCAUCCAGGAUACCUGUUACAUUUACUUGUCAUAUCUCCUCAAGCUUCUCUUGGCUAUGACAGUUUUUUAGACUUUCCUUGAUUUUGAUGACCUUGACAGUUUUGAGGAGUUCUGGGCCCGAUGUUGCAGAAUGCCUCCUUAUUGAAAUUUGUCUGAUGUUUUCCUCAUGAUUAGAUUGGGGUUGUGAGUUUUGGGGGGAAGGUAAUAGAGGAAAAGUGUCAUCUUCAUCACAUCAUAUUAAAGGUACAUAUUAGUGACAUG
Molecule: long non-coding RNA, 760 nt
Filed under: Homo sapiens (human)
Lineage: Eukaryota; Metazoa; Chordata; Mammalia; Primates; Hominidae
Description: HSALNT0399165
Source: RNAcentral